This 627-nucleotide long non-coding RNA is filed under the name Apteryx owenii (little spotted kiwi). Its description in RNAcentral is "lncRNA (ENSAOWG00000011439.1)". Lineage: Eukaryota; Metazoa; Chordata; Aves; Apterygiformes; Apterygidae. The record is from RNAcentral.
AAACACCUAACUCUUUUCAGGAGGGAGGAAGGGAGGGAAGGAUGAAAUAAUGUUGCCUUAGAGCAAUUUCUCCCUUGUCAUCCCUUUUCCCCUUACAGUUUGCUGUCACUAGUGACCAUGGGCCAGACUGUGCACUUCUAAGAAUCCUUCAGAUGGAGUCAGUGGGACUGCUCACAUGAACUUCUGCCUUCCUACAUGUGAACUUCAAAGCCUUUGAUAGUCAUGAAGCAUCAGAGGAGCCUUUAUGCUAAGUAAAACCUGUGUGAAAAGAGCGCUGCUUCUGAUCCCAUCAGGAGCUGCUAUAUAUUUCACUCCUUCUUAUGUUUUUCAUCCUCUCAGCCUGGAUAAAGCAGUCAGUCUGCAUUUGUUUGGGUGGUCAUGGCCAUACCUUUACUAUGCUGUGCGCUGUCAGAGUGGAGAAGCUGCAGCCUAACAGGACAGGCCGUGGUGUAGCCAGAGGAAGUGCUGAAGUAGUACAGGCACCUCAAGAGAAAAUGCCUAUGAAGAGCAAGCAAAUAGCAUUGGGGACCUUGCUGGGAGAAGGCAGUAAGUCUACUGUGUGCUUCCUGCAGGGAGACUGCAGGUGAGCCACCACUGGUAGCACAAAGAGCUGCAGGUCAACAUGGG